RNAcentral lists this transfer RNA (77 nucleotides) under Gemmatimonadetes bacterium RIFCSPLOWO2_12_FULL_68_9. RNAcentral's name for it is "tRNA-Arg". It matches the Rfam family "tRNA". From Rfam's summary of the family: Transfer RNA (tRNA) molecules are approximately 80 nucleotides in length. Their secondary structure includes four short double-helical elements and three loops (D, anti-codon, and T loops). Further hydrogen bonds mediate the characteristic L-shaped molecular structure. tRNAs have two regions of fundamental functional importance: the anti-codon, which is responsible for specific mRNA codon recognition, and the 3' end, to which the tRNAs corresponding amino acid is attached (by aminoacyl-tRNA synthetases). tRNAs cope with the degeneracy of the genetic code in two manners: having more than one tRNA (with a specific anti-codon) for a particular amino acid; and 'wobble' base-pairing, i.e. permitting non-standard base-pairing at the 3rd anti-codon position. Lineage: Bacteria; Pseudomonadati; Gemmatimonadota. The record is from RNAcentral.
GCGCCCGUAGCUCAGGUGGACAGAGCAACGGCCUUCUAAGCCGUGGGUCGGAGGUUCGAAUCCUCCCGGGCGCACCU